Molecule: long non-coding RNA, 330 nt
Organism: Gopherus evgoodei (Goodes thornscrub tortoise)
Lineage: Eukaryota; Metazoa; Chordata; Testudines; Testudinidae
Exons: 6
Source: RefSeq, a predicted model, not a curated record
AGGAAGUGGAAGACAAGCAAUGGCUUCUGAAAGUAAAAUUGGUAAUGACCAGCAAACACACAGAGAGACUGGAGGCCAAAGUGAGAAACAUAAAAUUGUAUGGCUCUUCAUUUCAUUGCCUGAAACCAAGAAGCUGGAUAAGCGAUGAGGUUAUUGAUGCAUUUUUGAGCUGUGUAGUUGAGAAAGCAGAUGGAAAGGUACAAGCCAUCUCAUCAGUAGUUUCCACUGUCAUUCUCUCAGGCAGAGCUACACAAGUGAAAGUGAAGAGUGAAUUACUUCAAAAUGAUAUAUUAUUGCUUCCUUACCACACACCAGGUCAUUGGGUUCUUG